UGAUGACCGCUGGAUUUCUCCACCCCAGAACAGGGGCUUGACCCCAGCCUAAGGCCCAUGACACAGAGGCCCACGUACUUGAUACCCCCAACAAGCCUGGCUCAUCCCAUCUUCCGGGCCGGGCUCGACCAAGCUUCCUCAAUCAGUCCAGCCUGAUCCCUGACCAGCAGACCCCUCUCAGGCCCAGCGUCCAGCCCAACUCUCAGCCCAGCCCGGGGUCCAGCACAGUACUCACCAGACAGCCUGG
This 247-nucleotide long non-coding RNA is filed under the name Manihot esculenta (cassava). RNAcentral describes it as "long non-coding RNA (MESC_LNC001007)". The record is from RNAcentral. Lineage: Eukaryota; Viridiplantae; Streptophyta; Magnoliopsida; Malpighiales; Euphorbiaceae.